Molecule: ribosomal RNA, 775 nt
Filed under: uncultured Neocallimastigales
Lineage: Eukaryota; Fungi; Neocallimastigomycota; Neocallimastigomycetes; Neocallimastigales
Description: partial large subunit ribosomal RNA
Rfam family: Eukaryotic large subunit ribosomal RNA
Source: RNAcentral
AGAGAUGUGUGAUGACGCAUAUCAAUAAGCGGAGGAAAAGAAACUAACAAGGAUUCCCUUAGUAACGGCGAGUGAAGCGGGAAGAGCUCAAAUUUGAAAUCUUCAAGGUUCUACCUUGACGAAUUGUAGUUUAUAGAAGUGUUUUCUGUUAGUGGAGUGGCAAAAGUUCUUUGGAAUAGGACAUCAUAGAGGGUGAGAAUCCCGUAUUUGGUCAUUCCUUCCUAGCUUUGUGAUACACUUUCAACGAGUCGGAUUGUUUGGGAAUGCAGUCCAAAAUGGGUGGUAAAUUUCAUCUAAAGCUAAAUAUUGGCGAGAGACCGAUAGCGAACAAGUACCGUGAGGGAAAGAUGAAAAGAACUUUGAAAAGAGAGUUAAACAGUACGUGAAAUUGUCAAAAGGGAAGCGUUUGACACCAGUGUUGUUUUUCCGAAAAUCAAUUACGAAUGUUUUGUUUUUAAGAAGUUAUGACUUCAUCGGCUUGCUUCUCUCUUUACGAAACUUUCUUAAUGCACUUUUCGGUUAACAAGUCAACAUCAAUUUCUUUUGUUGUAAAAGGGUAUGAGGAAGGUGGCUUUCUUUUCGGAGAAAGUGUUUAUAGCCUUGUACCUCUGCAAUCGGAGAGAUUGAGGUCUGCAGCGUAGAUCCUUCGGGGUUAGAUACAUUUGUGCUAAGUUAUAGCUUGUCAUAGACAACUUGUUGACUAUGUUGAGUCUUGUAAUUUACUCGCAGAUGCUAUUUUACCUACGCUUAGGAUGUUGAGGUCAUCGUAUCGCGC